RNAcentral lists this ribosomal RNA (429 nucleotides) under Bacteroidota bacterium. RNAcentral describes it as "Bacteroidetes bacterium partial 16S ribosomal RNA". It matches the Rfam family "Bacterial small subunit ribosomal RNA", at positions 355 to 776 of the family's 1533-position model. The record is from RNAcentral. Lineage: Bacteria; Pseudomonadati; Bacteroidota.
UAGGGAAUCUUCGGCAAUGGGGGGAACCCUGACCGAGCAACGCCGCGUGAGUGAAGAAGGUUUUCGGAUCGUAAAGCUCUGUUGUUAAGGAAGAACGAGUGUGAGAAUGGAAAGUUCAUGCUGUGACGGUACUUAACCAGAAAGGGACGGCUAACUACGUGCCAGCAGCCGCGGUAAUACGUAGGUCCCGAGCGUUGUCCGGAUUUAUUGGUCGUAAAGCGAGCGCAGGCGGUUAGAAAAGUCUGAAGUGAAAGGCAGUGGCUCAACCAUUGUAGGCUUUGGAAACUGUUUAACUUGAGUGCAGAAGGGGAGAGUGGAAUUCCAUGUGUAGCGGUGAAAUGCGUAGAUAUAUGGAGGAACACCGGUGGCGAAAGCGGCUCGCUGGUAUGUAACUGACGCUGAGGCUCGAAAGCGUGGGGAGCGAACAGG